CUUAAUCGAUAUAACUGAGUAAGACUCUAUCACCGAAAAGGGCGGAUUUUUUCCUUAGUUGUUGAUAGUUAUAUACUAUGCGUAAAACCUAGUCGGGUAGACAUGGGUAAAUUAAGGUUACGAUGUGAUAAAUUAAUCGGCGUCCUUUAUAACUGUGUAAUAGCUAUAUAGUUUGAAUUGGCCCUCCGGCUAUGAGGUCUGGGGGUUUUAUAUAUCUUAUAAUUCUUUGUAUAGGCAAGAAAGGGUUAAAAUUACCCAUUCUUUAAAAUAGUGUUAUAACUUUUUUAUAAAAUUUUUAGAUUAUCUUUAAUAGUUAUUCAUUAAAUUAUUAGAUAAAGUUUAUGAUUAAAUAAGUAAUAUUAUUGUGAAUACAUUGCUUCUCAAGCAUUGCCCGUCUGUUUAUUAAAAACAUUUCUAUAAUUUAGUUUUUAUAGUAGUACCUGCUCUAUGUUUUCUUAUAAAUGGCCGCAGUAUCUUGACUGUGCGAAGGUAGCAUAAUUAAUUGCCUUGUAAUUGAAGGCUUGUUUGAAUGGUUUGACGCGGUAAUUGCGAACAUUGUUCACAUUGUUGAAAUUAAUUAUGAUGGUUCAGAAUCCUCUUUGAUUAAUUAGACGGAAAGACCCCGGGAUCUUUUAUUUUGUCUGGGGCAGAUAUUGAUAUUUCAUCAUUAUUGCGACCCUCCGCGAGUUUAAUGGGUUAAGUUACCCCGGGGAUAACAGUGUAAUAGUUUAUAAGAGAUCCCAUCGAAUAGACUGCUUGCCACCUCGAUGUUGACUUAGGUUUAGUCUCAGGCGCAGUAGUUUGAGAUUUGGGUCUGUUCGACCCUAGUUUACCUCC
RNAcentral lists this ribosomal RNA (837 nucleotides) under Paraberrapex manifestus. RNAcentral's name for it is "partial 16S ribosomal RNA". The stretch from base 581 to 837 matches the Rfam family "Bacterial large subunit ribosomal RNA", at positions 2048 to 2599 of the family's 2925-position model. The record is from RNAcentral. Lineage: Eukaryota; Metazoa; Platyhelminthes; Cestoda; Lecanicephalidea; Lecanicephalidae.